RNAcentral lists this long non-coding RNA (3352 nucleotides) under Marmota monax (woodchuck). Lineage: Eukaryota; Metazoa; Chordata; Mammalia; Rodentia; Sciuridae. The record is from RNAcentral.
CCUAAGUCACAUCCUUCUUAUUAAAGCAGCCACAAGCAGAUCAUGCAUUCUGCCUCUCAGCAUGCCUGCACAUAACAAUACUGGCCUGUGUACCUCACUGGACUUUACAUGAAUAAGAGACAGGUCCAGUCCUGCUUUUCAGAAAGAAGUACCAAGAGCUGGUAGGUAGAAAAUCAAAACUCCAUAGAAAGGGGAAAAGGGAUAAGACUACUGUUUGAUGAGUAAGAGAGAACUUUAGAGAAAUUUUUUUUAAAAAAAAAAGUUUCCAACAGGAAAUUUGAAUUGCAAAAUAGAGCGAUCUGGUCACAAUGGUAAACUAAAUUGUUGUUUCAUGACCUUUCCAAAUUCUUGUCAAGUGAAUCAUGGAUAUGUGGGACCAAAGAGGAAGUAAAAGUUCAUAACAGCCAGUAACAUAACUAUAUAGACUUCAAGAACAGACUGUUUAAAAAAAAAUAAGCAGAAUAUCAUUGAAGCCAUUAUUAGAUUCAUGUCACUUAUUAUUCCCCCAAUAUGGCACUGAAUCUUAUUGGCUUCCAUGGGUAAUGUGAGAUUUUUCUGUCAUAAUUUGAUCAAUCCUUCCCUACCUAAGUAAUUGUUAGUCAGCUUCCUAUUACUGUAACAAAAUACCUGAAAUAAUCAGCUUAUAGAGAGAAAAGUUUUAUUUUUGGCUUACAGUUCCAAUGUGGUUCAUUGACCCCAUUGUUUUUAUUUUUUUAGGUUCACUCUUUUUGGAGGUGGGUACCAGGAAUUGAAUCCAGGGACACUCAGCCACUGAGCCACAUCCCCAGCCCUAUUUUUGUAUCUGUUUGGAGACAGAGUCUCACCCAGUUGCUUAGUGCCUCACUUUUGCUGAGGCUGGCUUUGAACUCCAUCCUCCUGUCUCAGCCUCCUGAGUCUCUGGGAUUACAGGCAUGCACCACCUCACUCGGCUGGCCCCAUUGUUUUUGGAUGAGGUAGUACAUCAUGGCAGGGAGCACAUGGUGAGCAAAGCUGCACACCUCAUGGUGGCCAAGGAACAGAGACAGGGAGAAUAGGGACUGGAGCCCUAUUACUCCCUUCAAGAACAUGCUCCCGGUGACCUGGAAAGCUCCCACUAGGCUCCAUCUCUUAAUGUCCACCACCUCUCAAUGUCCAUCACCUCUCAAUGUACACCACUUCUCAAUAGCCCCAAGCUGGGGACUAAGCCUUUAACACAUGAGCCUUUGAGGAACAUUCAAGAUCCAAACUAUUGCCGUAAGUAAAUAACAGGGAACACUGUUUAUGCCUAAUAGAUUGGAAAAAUUUUGAGAUUGCUAAUACUGGUAUUAUUAAUGUAUGGGUAACAUACUCUCACCCAGCAAUGGGAGUAGAUCAGCCUCUGAAGAUCGUAAUUUUGCAAUGUACAUUCAGUUUCUUAACAAGAAUUUAUGCUAAGGAAAUAACUGGAAAAGUGUAUAAAAAUGUUUAUUACAAUGUUAUUCAAAAUCUCGGAAGCCUGGGUCCAUUGGCCCCAUUGUUUUUAUUUUUGGAAACUACUACCAUGGAAACUACUAUCAAUAGAGAGUCCAUUAAAUAAAUUUACAGUACAUCUCUACAAGGAAAUAUAUUUACCUGCAGAUUUUAGAAUAACAAUGAAGAUCAAUAUUUAAUGUGUGUUGUCUUACAAUCAGUGUUUGUGUUGCUAGAGAAAAUAAAGGUGUGUUCACUUUGAGAAAUAAUCUAACAAAGGAAAAGGAAAAAAAUUAAUCUUUUAUACCCAUUUCUUUUUAAUAAAUGAGAACUUUUUUUUUUUUACUGCUAUUAACUUUCUUUCAGGUUUUAGUUUAGAGUAUUCAUUAGUGUGGUGAGCAUUCGAGAAAUGGGCCAGUUCUUAGGCUCUUUGGGAAGCUUUUAGUCUAUGCAGAAGAAACAGCUUUGGAUUCCCCCUCCCCCUCCCAAUCCUGCAUAUUAAAAUCCCUGUAUUUGAAUUCAUGUCUUCCUUACCCUGUUACAAAAAGGUUCAUAUAAAAUUUCUUUAAGUAGCCAAUUCUCCUUGCAUGUAUAAAAUUUUUUGACUAGAAAAAUUAUAUUGAAUCAUAGUAGUUCAUUUGCUGCAUAUACGUGUGAGGUGUAAUAUAAACAGCGUAAGUGAUAUAAUAAAAGAGUGAUCAGAACAAAGUGAAAUUUGCCAGGAAAAAAACUUAUUCAUUUAGUACACAAAUAUAUUUUUAGCCCCUUUUGUGUUCUGGGCACUAGAACACUGGCGAUACAAAGGCAGAAGACCAUAGCCCUUCUUAGGAAAACCUUACAGGAAAAUAAUACAGAGUUAUAUGCAAAGUGAAUUGAAAACUUACAGAAAGUAAUGCCAAAGUCUUACUGAGAGACUAGCUUUCACAGAGUGUGAUUGGGCAUAAAUAGGUCAAGGGGGCAAAAGCAACCUUCAUCAUCCUUAAUAAAAGCAAAAUGCUUUUGGCAAAGACUAGCACACUACUGUGUAUUGGUGUCAAGAUGAUGUGGGAUAGGAUCUCCAAGCCAGAUAAGAGGAGGCUGUGGUAUCAGGGAAGUGGAAGGACAGGCAUCUUUGUAUGGAUUAUGACAUGGCCUGUUGGAUGGGUACAGGUAUCAGCCUUGUAUCAGAAUAGAAUAGAACACAUCUGGUCCAAUCUCCUUAAUCUACAAGUAGAAGAAGAAAGGAAAGAAGGGGAGUGAAGGAAUUUGGGAGGACUAAAGAGAAAAGAAAAAAAAAUGUCUGAGAUUGCCAGGAACUUAACAACUUCCUUCUUAAUAAAUGAUUGAAUGUAAUGUUCUAUGUAAUGGCAUUUGUAUAUCUCUGUAAAACCAAUGGGAAGGUUUCUUUUGUUAAUCUGGAUAGCAGAAAUUGUAGGCUAUGUUCCCUAGCUCUAGCUCGUGGUUCUUAUAUUUAUAUAGUCAAAGGUCAAAAGCUGACUAAGAACAGAUGAGCUCCUUCCUUUUGCAUCAUUUUUCAACCUUUCAAAGGGCUUAAAAUAAACUAUCAUUUUUUCCAUUAUUUACUUAAGAGAUUUGUUUUUCAGAAUUCAUAGUUCUUGGAACCCCCUCCCCCCGCCCCGCAUCAUACUUAUGAAGUAUACAAUCUGACUCCUACUCAUCUAUCAAUACCUAAGGGAUGCUAGCAUUAAGAUGCAUGCUUUAAAUCACCCAAAACAGUAAGAAGGCCAAAUUGACCAGUAAUGUUUGUGAUUUUCCAUAAGUAUCUCUCACGUGUAGAAUCAGGAAAUCUCCUUGAGACAGAGGACAAUAGAGAAAUUCAUCAAAGAAAAGAAAGUCGGCCCUUAUCAGGGACCAUGCUUGCAGAAGGACGCAAACAGCAGGCCAGUUUCACUUUUUGCAACCACGUACGAAUAUACCAUGAGAC